AUAGAGACUCAGAGCUGCAUAUCAAUAAGCGGAGGAAAAGAAACCUAACAAGGAUUCCCUUAGUAACGGCGAGUGAAGCGGGAAGAGCUCAAAUUUGAAAUCUUCAAGGUUUUACCUUGACGAAUUGUAGUUUAAAGAAGUGUUUUCUGUUGGAGUUUUGGUAAAAGUUCUUUGGAAUAGGACAUCAUAGAGGGUGAGAAUCCCGUAUUUGACCAUUAUUUCCAGCUUUGUGAUACACUUUCAAAGAGUCGGAUUGUUUGGGAAUGCAGUCCAAAAUGGGUGGUAAAUUUCAUCUAAAGCUAAAUAUUGGCGAGAGACCGAUAGCGAACAAGUACCGUGAGGGAAAGAUGAAAAGAACUUUGAAAAGAGAGUUAAACAGUACGUGAAAUUGUCAAAAGGGAAGCGUUUGACACCAGUGUUGUUUUUCCGAAAAUCAAUUACGAAUGUUUUGUUUUUGAGAAGUUAUGACUUCAUCGGCUUGCUUCUCUCUUUACGAAACUUUCUUAAUGCACUUUUCGGUUAACAAGUCAACAUCAAUUUCUUUUGUUGUAAAAGGGUAUGAGGAAGGUGGCUUUCUUUUCGGAGAAAGUGUUUAUAGCCUUGUACCUCUGCAAUCGGAGAGAUUGAGGUCUGCAGCGUAGAUCCUUCGGGGUUAGAUACAUUUGUGCUAAGUUAUAGCUUUUCAUAGACAACUUGUUGACUAUGUUUAGUCUUGUAGCUUACUCGCUUAUGCUAUUUUACCUACGCUUAGGAUGUUGAUAGUCACAGCGUGUAC
This 775-nucleotide ribosomal RNA is filed under the name uncultured Neocallimastigales. RNAcentral's name for it is "partial large subunit ribosomal RNA". It matches the Rfam family "Eukaryotic large subunit ribosomal RNA", at positions 23 to 644 of the family's 3401-position model. Lineage: Eukaryota; Fungi; Neocallimastigomycota; Neocallimastigomycetes; Neocallimastigales. The record is from RNAcentral.